Molecule: non-coding RNA, 650 nt
Filed under: Pongo abelii (Sumatran orangutan)
Lineage: Eukaryota; Metazoa; Chordata; Mammalia; Primates; Hominidae
Source: RNAcentral
GAACACAAAAUGGCGACACGUGGUUAGCAUUCGUCGCCAACGAGAAAUUGGGGUCGGCCCGAAAGCUCUAGAAUGCACCCCUAUUCCUCCCCGGGGCCAUUCCCGCUCAACGAGUUUUAUGACCUAAAAAACCCCACAGGCUGGUCUGAAGAUUUGGUAGCAUGGGCUGUUGUGCUGGAGAGAACGAGAGCUACGAAGAGACUAGAAUGCCUCUGACUUUUUCAUAGGACAGUUGGCCGAGGAAGACACUUAAAGAUGAAGUGCUUAAUUCAAGGUCACAGAAUGUCGGGGAUGGACCUCCAGAUUUCCUUACUGGAAAACAAGCUCAGGGCUCCCACUGAUUGUACAUUAUGAGACAGAGUCUUCUUGCUAUGUUGCCCAGGCUGGUCUUGAACUCCUAACCUCAAGCGAUCCUCCCAUCUUGGCCUCCCAGGUGUCAGGAUUACAGGCAUGUGCUAUCACACCCAACCUGAUACAUUGCCUUUAUAAAUUUUUUUUUCUUUAUUCUAAAAAACAGAAAAAACAAAACUGGAUACAUGUGCAGAACAUGCAGGUUUGUUACAUAGCUGUACGUGUGCCAUGGUGGUUUGCUGCACCUAUUGACCUAUCCUGUAAGUUCCCUCCCCUCACCCCCACCCCCCAACAGCCCU